Molecule: long non-coding RNA, 272 nt
Filed under: Lathyrus oleraceus (garden pea)
Lineage: Eukaryota; Viridiplantae; Streptophyta; Magnoliopsida; Fabales; Fabaceae
Description: Pisum sativum (pea) long non-coding RNA (PSAT_LNC036040)
Source: RNAcentral
AAACAGAUUACCAAAUAGUACAUCCAAAAGUAAUACGAUCCUCACACGAUAAAUUUCACUCAAAUCUCAAGUGUUUAGGUUAACUGUUUACACUCAAAGCACAACAUGAAAGUUAGUACUACCAUAAGCUUGAAAAGACUCUAACAUCCACAAUUGAAAUGCAUGCACACAAAGAUCAAAAGGACUUUUAUUUGGUUGUAACGUGGGCAAGGUAAGGGUGAGAUAAAUCCUAAGGGGUACUAGGCUAAAAUUCAAAGAGACAAAAGAGACUU